UAUUAUUACUAGUAAAAUAAUGGAUGCACUAGUACAGACAUGCCAAGGAUAUAUAUAAUCACGCUGCUCAAGUACAAAUAUAUAUCCUCAAACUCAACACCAAAAUCCAGUAAUCCUUAAAGCUCUAAGAAUACAAUGGUCACAUAUUCCAUAAAAAUAUUAUAAGUAAACAACAGGGAUAGUAUACAAUUAUUCUAUUGAGGUUGUAGCAGAUUACCAGAUACACCCUUAUACUUAAUUUGCUGGGGUCCUAUGACCACCAUGUGCUUGUUAGAAGUGUAAUAUAAGGAGUUUUAAGUGUUAUUCUAGAGAAACAGGUCAAGUCCAAAGGGGGAAUAUGUAAUUUCCCUAAACUAUAGGUACUUGUAAAUAGUGAUGCAACAACUCAAAAUUAGUUCGAUGGAGUAGAAAUAUUUGGAAUUGAAGGCAAAGGAGGCAAAGUGACCUUAACGAUAGUAGUAGUUGAAAUUGUUGGCAAAGUAGGGAGAGUUGUGUUUGGCAAAGAUGGCAAUGUUGUUGAAAUGUUUGGCAAUUGUGGCAAAGAUGGAAUAGUGGGCAGUGGAAUUUGCAAUAAGCUACGAGCUGCAAAGCCAAGGCUAGAGCUUGAGAGUGACAAGGUCUUGACCAAGCAAAAGACAAAGCCAUUCUUGAAAAUAGCCAUUGUAAAAAUGAAUGGAAAAAAUACGGUAAGCUGGCCUGAAAAUCACAAUUAUUAAAAAAAAUGUUUGUUUUUCUUGAGGAAAGGAA
RNAcentral lists this long non-coding RNA (747 nucleotides) under Nicotiana benthamiana. RNAcentral describes it as "long non-coding RNA (NBEN_LNC028427)". The record is from RNAcentral. Lineage: Eukaryota; Viridiplantae; Streptophyta; Magnoliopsida; Solanales; Solanaceae.